UGAAGUGAGUGCUGAGGGAAGGUCUCUGCCGUUUCCAAGCUCUCUCUGCUCGGCCAGUUGCUGAGGUGAACGGCCAUCAGAGGCAUGUUUUGAAAGCUGAGUCUCAUCUGGGAUGUCUGGCCCCUGCACUUACCUUAUGCCGUCCUUCUCUGCAGAGGCCAGCUCGGGUCCGGGGGCAGGGGAAGAGCAGGCUAUCUGAUCUUGAGCUGAGCCAGGGAUGAGAAGCUAGACUCCAAGUUUUUCAGCUUAACAGAUUCCUGGCUGUUUGGCCACAGAUCUUCCCCCCUCAGCUACAGUAACAUGCUGUGUGGGACUCAGGACAAAAGCCUCUUCAAUUCUGGCAGUGUUUGCUGCACAUGGUGUCCAUAUCCAAACCGCGUCAAACUCCUGUGUUUGUUUCUGAAGUCUUUACAGACCUCUUCAAAACUGACAACGCUCCAGCAUUUCACUGAAGGAAACCCUGGGCAAGCCUGCUGUCUUUGAGAUGGUUUUCUUUUAUCCAGCACUUCCGUGCUUUUGGAACAGAUAUCUUCAAUGCAGUGUCUGGCUAUGUAUAUGACUACGGAGCUAGUACAGGGGAACAGGCUUCAUCAUUCAUAAUCCUGUCUAUCACUCCUGUCUAUCAUUCUUGGGAUGGACAUAAUGGUGUUGGCUGGUAAGGCUGCACAUCUGCCUUCACACAGAGACCAUCAGGAAGCCAAAUAAAGAGGAGUGAGAACUCACCUGAGUGGCCUGCCUGGGCGCAGCUGACUCUGCAGCCGGACUCUGCGAUUGUCCCCAGCAACCCCACCAUUGUAGCAAGCUUGCUAGCAGCACUCAUAAUCUUUUUCUCAGCUCUGGGGGUAAUUCCAGGAUAUAAAAUUAAAACAGUUUAAAUAAAAAACACGAGACUCCUCAGCCCUGGGACUGUUUCCUAAUGCCUCUGCCAACAGGGAGGGAAGCCCGGCCUAAGCCUCUCUAUGACCACAGAACCAGUCCUGUGGUUCAGGGAAUGACGGCGCACCGUCCGGGUGCAGUCUGGCCUCGAAGUGUACACUGAACUCACCCCUCUUCCUUCCCAUUAUCCUCCAAGAUCUGCUGAAGGCAACUCAGGUAGUACUUGUGCAUCUUCCGGGCAGUGUCCUGCCGCUCCCGCAACACUUCUGCCUUCACCAUCUCCGUGGCCCUUUCCUUGCUCUCCUGAAUGUAACGAAGCAUGUCACCUGCGGGCGGUGAAGAAACCAAUUUGGUAGACUCGAAAGAAAAGCGCUCUAGACUUACGAUGGUGACAGCUGCACAUGGGCAGGAACACAACCUAUCUUGUCACAUUCUGAAGGACUUGGGUAGAAGAACACAGUGAGCAGAAGCAUGUGUUCUGUUGUUCCUCGUGAUUCAAGGAGAGAAAAGAAAUACCCAGAAAGAGAGAACAGAAAGGUGACGGCGGAAAGGAAGACGACCUCGCUCGUCUCCUGUGCCCGAAAGGCUCCGGUCUAUCUUUAACCAAUGCUCAGUAGCAUUUACAAAACAGGACUAAACUCACGGGGUGAUGUAGAAGAUGUUUUGCAGAGUGGGAAGAAUCAUAUUCCCUUCUGAAAUUCACAGAAACUCAUAAUCGUACCUUCAUCUUCAUCGACACGACUUCCACUUGAAGCUAACUUAAAAACUAAAUCUAUAACUACAUUCUGCAUCUAGACUCUGCCACUUAGCUACAGCAGGAAUGCUGGCUCACACAGGAACUGACUGCCAGUGACAGCAAGCAUCUGAAAACCCCAUGUUAUACGUGCAGAUGCUAGGGUCCACUUUUCCUUCCGUGAAAUGGGAAAAAUUAAAGUGAAGUUGCCACAUGACCUCUAGCUACCCUUCUAAAAGUUAGAACACAGGAGUAUUCACUCUGGAGACAACCUGGAGAUGCUCUUACAAGUUGGACAGAACUGGCAAGGCCCUGGCAAAUUCACAGCUGUUUGAAAUAAGGAAAAAUGAUCCUGGCUGGAUUCAUCUUCACAGUCCUGAGUCUACGGUAGGACGUACUGCCGAUCUCACUCAGGUGACACCUCCUCUCUCCUUCCCGGCUCUGUCCCUCCCUCUGCACAGGCUGCGGAGGUCCUGCCUCUUAGCCUACCUCAAUCUUUGUGUGUUAUGUUCUACAAGUUACUGAUGCUGUAAAGAUAUUACAUUUUAAGAUAGCUUGAUUCUAAUGUCUAAACAAAAACUAAAAAGUUGAUAAUCAACAAUAUACAGGCAACAGACACACACACACACAACACACACACACACACACACACACACACACACACACA
Molecule: non-coding RNA, 2276 nt
Organism: Rattus norvegicus (Norway rat)
Lineage: Eukaryota; Metazoa; Chordata; Mammalia; Rodentia; Muridae
Source: RefSeq, a predicted model, not a curated record